Molecule: long non-coding RNA, 4829 nt
Organism: Piliocolobus tephrosceles (Ugandan red Colobus)
Lineage: Eukaryota; Metazoa; Chordata; Mammalia; Primates; Cercopithecidae
Exons: 7
Source: RefSeq, a predicted model, not a curated record
UGAGACCAGGAGAUGGAGGCUGCAGUGAGCUAUGGUUGUGCCACUGCACUCCAGCCUGGGAGAUGAGCUAGCCCCUGUCUCAAAACACAAAAACUUAAAAUAAAAUACACAGAGAAUCUCAAGGUGGUGCGGACAGUUCUGAGUGUUGGGAGAGAACAAAAGGAGGAAAGUGCAUUUUGGGUGGCAGAAAGCCCCUCCCAGUACCGUGGGCCCCUGCUUUGAAGCAAUCCUCACAGAAAUUGAGCAUGAGUGAUGUUGGGCCCAUGACACUGGUUCCCUGGGUGGAUGCAGCCUGAGCCAGCCCGCCCUGGCUGGAGCUCUCACCACCCUGCCUGGCCCGUGCUCAUGGGCUCACGAUGGCUUCAGCUAGAGCUCAUGUCAGCACGGCUUUCCCAGAGGGCUCAUUUGCACUUGGAUGCCCUCACCUGUUCUCCCCCUGUGGCUUCAGGAACCCCGGGGUCAUUACAGAGCUCGCUAAAUUCAUCCCUGGAUGUGAGACCUGUGUCGUAGGCAUCCAGGACUGUCCCAAGAUGGGAGAGGCAUCCAGUCAUGUUAAUUGAAGCGAAGGCUUCUAUUUACUUCCAGAUACACACUGUUAACCUUCCUAGGGCCCCCUUUUGACCUUUCUUCCACAAAGCAUUUUACCUACCGCUAAUAGCCCCAGUGCAGACCCCAAAGUUCCCCUGUAGGAUUCAUUUCCCGUGAUUUGAGGCCAGCCUGAGGCAAAGCUUUCUGCUGGGUUGAUCCUCACUCAGACUCAAACUGCAGAGGGCCAGGAGGAGCCCUGCUUUUUGCAAUCAAUACCACCUGGGGUAGGACCCAAACGUGACAUCCUUUGUGUGUGGAUCUGGCCUUGGCCUCCACACCGUCUGUUCAGCAGGUCCCUCCUUUGCCUGCCAAGGCUGAGGUCCUGUACUUUGCAAAGGUCCAGGCCGUUUGGUGCAGCUACAAUCAGGGUGCGUGGUUUUCUCUAUGAAAGCAAACAGCAGUCUCGUGGGGAAGGCCCCGGCAGAAAGUGCAUCAUGCAGGACACGGCACAGGCGUUCCAAAGACGCCUCCUGCUCACUUCUGGCCUCCACCCCAUGCCCUGCAGGAUGACAGAUGGCUGUGCCUAUACAUAAAACACCAGACGUGACCAGUAACUAUCUUAUAAUAAAUAUACUUGAACUUCUCAACUAGAAGACAGAAUGCUUUCGGGAAGUACAGCGCGUACCACCAUGUGUGGUCCUGUGCACAGCGGCGGGAGCCUCCGCCCCAUGAGCCAGCGUGGUGGGGGAGAGACCCUGAGUCUCCAGAACCCAACGGAACGUGGGUCUGCAGUGACGACGCAAAAACCGAAGACGAGCAAUAAAAUAAUAAUCCGAAGAGGAAAGAGACAAUGUGAAGAAAGCCGCCUUUGUUCUAGGAAGUCUUUUUUUCCCUUUUCACAGUAUAGUGACUCGUUUAUAAAGAGGAAGUGAGUUCGGUUGAAAAAUACUUGAAAUAUUCUCUUAGGGGGAGAAAGCAGUUCUUCACCAGCUUGGUGGGCCGCUUGGCCGCGAGCUUCGAGCUCUGCCUGUUCUGUGUCAGCAGGGACAAUUCUUCUUCCGAAACCAGAGCCCACUGCCUGCUGCUGAGAGGAGGGGAGGGAAGGCUAUGAGCAAGCGCAGCGCCCACCAGGCGGGCGCGGAGAUGGGGCUGGGAAGGAAUCGCUUUGAGGGGAUGAGGGGAGCAGCCUGCCUCUCAGUUGUCCCAGGCGCCUAAGAUGCCCUGGAACCCCCACCCGAUUCUGGGAGUUUUUCUCACGGAGGUGUACUGAGCAGCAGGAGACCAGACAGCUCCCCCGCCUCUGGCCUCCCCCCGGCAGGGGGCUGGUCCCCUGGGAAACAGGCUGGGGGUGACUGUCACCAUCCUGGGCAGCAUCCCCGCAGAGGAAAGGACAGGACGCCAGGCAAAAGUUAGCCAAACCCUUGCAGAGUCAGCAACCAUUCCCAGGGAAUUGUACCACAAAGGCUGUCCCCUGGGUUCCUGGGGCUACCUGUGCCGGAAGCCUGAGCCCUGAGCGCAGGAGGGCAGGUGGGGAGGGCAAAGGUCCUCUGCCAGCCUGCUGUGUGAGGAGCCCUUGGGGAAGAUGGGCUUUGCAGACUUGGCACCAACACCCCCUCUCGUGCUCCCAGCCACCCCACUGGAGGCCAGGAACAUUUCUCAGUUUAUUUCGGGGUGAAGGCUGCGAGUGAAGUGCCAGUGUCCCCCUCCUCCUCGGGCACCCUCCCUAGGGCAGUGGGGACUGUCCUUAACCAUCCUGGGGGUAAUGGUGGCCACCUGUGCAAAAUGAUUUCUCUUUCAGUGAGUGGGUGUCUCACGUCACUGUUGAGACACCCGGGAGCCUCAGAGGGAAACCUGUGGGAAGGAGCUGCCAGCCUCUUUCCGGGAACCAGGUGACCCCAGGAUCACGGCUCAGGUGCAUCCAGCCCUGGAAACCCUGUGAGGAGCUCUGUGGGGCCUCGCUCAGAAAGGGGGCCUAGGAAGAAGCAGCUGCCAGCCCAUGGCCCAAGCCUGCAGGCGCCACAGCUGCUGCGUGGACGCACGGAGCCUCCGGGAGCCAAGGAGCCUCCGGGAACAGGCAGCAGGGGAGGCCAGGCCAGCAGGACCUGCGGGCGCCACGCCUUGGCAGGUGCCAGGCAACAGGAUUGUGCCAUGGCGGUGACAUGGGAGAAUGCGGGAACCUGAGAGGUGAGAGGGAAUAAGUUUCCAGAACUCACUCUCAGACAGGAGGAGACAUGACUCAGCUGAGCCAGAAAGCGCUCGUUCCACACGAAGGCACGUAUGAGUGAGGCACGCCAGAAAAAGCUGAUUAUUUUAAACCGACAGAACAGACUCUGUGGCAAUAAGAUAUCAAAUUACACACAGGACCUCAGACCACGCCAGGCAAGGGUCAGCCUUGUACCCUACACUGAGAGAACGGAUUCUGCCCUCACGCCACAGCUGCUUUUUCUCCAGCAGCUAAACACACACUGGCCCAGCAAUGAGCAAGAUUCAAAUGACUGCAGCUCAUCCACCCACAGACGCAAACUGACCACGUUCCACAGCCAUGACCACAGCUCUGAUUGGGCAGAAGUCUGACUUCAGGAACCCCCUCCUGGUAAGGGACCCCCGACCGUGGACCGGCUCCGGCCGGUUUGCAGAGGCUCCGCCUUGAGUGCCUUUGUGUUCUGAGAAGACCUCUGAGGUUUAGGGCCUCAUUGCGACACACUGACGUGUUAAGACUCUACCCCAGAGUGAACACAGGUCGUAUGUUACAUGCACGUUUGUUCAGUACGCAUGCAGCAGGACCCCCUUCAUGAAUAACCUGCCGCACAGGUUUAGCCAACCCAGUCAGCACGGAGCUCCUGCCCCAGCCAUCCCUCCCCUUCGAAGUGCCUCCUCCUGGCUCCUCUGGUCUUGGCAGAGGCCGUGCUUCCCAGCCUGGGGGACAGGGCCUUGCAGGCUGUGUCCCUUUACAGAAGCAAAGUCUCCUGUUCUAAAAGCACAGAUCUGGUGAUUUUCAGCUCAUGGCAUUUGCUCCCCUUCCCAAUGGCUGGGUUUGCAUUCCAGCCACUCCAUGAGAUUCUAGCACCAAGGGAACCUCGACCCCGCCUGGACCCCCAGCGAAGGCUCCAGCCCACAAGUGCUGCCCACUCAGUGGGUGGGGCCCCCGCUGGCUGUGGCCCCUCCGUGGAACCUGAGAGCACGAGUACCAGAUUGUCCACGAACAUCCAGAAGAAGGGCCUGGGGCUGCCCGGCCCGGGCCGCGCGUACUGCAGGAGCCGGUGGAACUGGAACAGGCAGGCCCUGAGUUGGGAAGAGACAGACAGGCAACCCUGAGGGAGGCGCGGACGCAGAGCGCGUGCCGUGGCACAAAUACCGCCUUUUAGAGGAAGCUCCAGAGGAUACGACAGACGGGCAUGGGCACCGAGAGGCAGCAGCAGUGGGCAAGGCCGCAUACAACAGCACGAGAUGUCCCCAGGGCCGACCCUGCUCAGCUCGCAGGGCCCACAGGCCAGGGCAAGCCGAGGAGUAGAGCCCACUAGGGCAGAGCCAUCCCCAGCCACCACCAGCCUCAGGGGCUGUCUGCCUGGAGCCCAGAGGAGAAUGCUCCGAAUGUGAGGUGAAGACUCUGUGCCACGCGUUUGGGGGCUGAACUCUGCCUUUAUCUUUUCUUGCUCAAAUUCCUUUCUAAGGAGCGUGGGGGAAUCACGGCUUACCAACCACAAAAGCUUGUGGAAUGGGUGUUUUGAGCCGGUAUAUUAUGGCUCUGCCAUGGCGUCACAUGACAGACAGCAGACCUUAUUUUAACUCAAGCAUUCCUUUCUACUGACUCCGAGUUUUUAGGCAAAGCUUAACUCAUCCAACUGCCAACUAAAGAAUCCCUAAUGUAAGCUUCAAGAUAUGCCGCCUUUUGGGGCUGAACCAAUGCACACCUAUGUAUUGAUUGGAUUGAUUGAUUGAAUUUUUUGAGAUGGGGUCUCACUCUGUCGCCCAGGCUGGAGUGCACUGGCGAGAUCUCAGCUCACUGCGACCUCCACCUCCUGGGCUCAAGCAAUCCUCCGGCCUCAGCCCCCCGAGUAGCUGGGACCACAGGUGGUCUUGAACUCCUGAGCUCAAAGUGCUGGGAUUACAGGCGUGAGCCACCGUGCCUGGCCCGUGUACUGAUUUCUGAUUCUACCUGCGGUUCCCAUCUCCCUGAAAUGUAUAAAACCAAAACUGUUACUGACCGCCUCAGGUGCACUUCCUCAGGACCUCUUAAGACUGUGUUUCCCAGGCCAUGGUCCCUCUUACUGGCUCAGAAUAAACCUAUUUAAAUACUUUGG